This is a long non-coding RNA of Papaver somniferum (opium poppy), 485 nucleotides long. RefSeq lists it as uncharacterized. The record is from RefSeq and is a predicted model, not a curated record. The transcript is spliced from 3 exons. Lineage: Eukaryota; Viridiplantae; Streptophyta; Magnoliopsida; Ranunculales; Papaveraceae.
CUGCAGAAUAGUGUGUUUGCCCAAUGCUACAGUGAGACUGUGUAAUAUAUAGCUCAUCUGAGUUACAAGCUAAAAUGAGGAUAAAGUUUCUACUCUUUUGAAGGUAGUUCUAGGCUUUUUGACCAGAUGUUAACGCUGGAAGACCUCCAAAAUUCAUUAAUGUACCCCCUUUUACACCAUAACAAAUUUCAUAACUCAUUCAUCAUAUAACAUGAAUUAGCAUGGACUGGAGAUGUUCUGGAGAUGUUUCUGCACUGAGGUACUGACUUACUGUGCCCACAAAUCCUAGCAAAAUAGAUAAUUCACUCUCCUGUUUGCAACAGACGACUGACUAGCAGCUAUGCCGCCAAAUAACGACUUUCUCCAGCUAAAUUUCGAUAUCUGUUGCUUCCAGCUCCAAAACUUGCAACGAAAAAUACGUCUACUCUAAAGUUCAGCUAUAAAACUACGGUCUAGCAGUCAAGAUGGAAAUAUGGAAGGACUUU